RNAcentral lists this long non-coding RNA (292 nucleotides) under Panax ginseng (ginseng). RNAcentral's name for it is "long non-coding RNA (PGIN_LNC010429)". The record is from RNAcentral. Lineage: Eukaryota; Viridiplantae; Streptophyta; Magnoliopsida; Apiales; Araliaceae.
AUGUUUUGUUCCAUCUUUCUUUGCCUCCCACAUUUGCACCAUUGCUCCACAGUGACACCGACUUGGGAAGUCUGGUGUAAUCCAUUCAUUUUUGUUGCAUGAACUACAAUCUUCUUCCCCGAUUUCAUUUACAAUUCCACUCCAAGAUGAGCUCAUCCUUUCAAUUAAACACUGAAAACCCGAAGAAGAAGAAGAAGGAAGAAUGAGAGAAGAAGAAUGAGAGAAGAACCCUAAUUUUUUCCCCCCAAAUAUCGAGCUCUUUGUUUUUGCUGUUCGAUCUCUUCGAUUUUUG